RNAcentral lists this transfer RNA (77 nucleotides) under compost metagenome. RNAcentral describes it as "tRNA-Glu". It matches the Rfam family "tRNA". Rfam says of the family: Transfer RNA (tRNA) molecules are approximately 80 nucleotides in length. Their secondary structure includes four short double-helical elements and three loops (D, anti-codon, and T loops). The record is from RNAcentral.
GUCGCGUUCGUCCAGUGGCCUAGGACAUCUGCCUUUCACGCAGGGAACGUCGGGUUCAAUUCCCACACGCGACUCCA